UACGUAGGGUGCAAGCGUUGUCCGGAAUUAUUGGGCGUAAAGAGCUCGUAGGCGGUCUGUCGCGUCGGCUGUGAAAUCCCGGAGCUCAACUCCGGGUCUGCAGUCGAUACGGGCAGACUGGAGUUCGGCAGGGGAGACUGGAAUUCCUGGUGUAGCGGUGAAAUGCGCAGAUAUCAGGAGGAACACCAGCGGCGAAGGCGGCGCUCUGGGCCGGUACUGACGCUGAGGAGCGAAAGCGUGGGGAGCGAACAGG
This 253-nucleotide ribosomal RNA is filed under the name uncultured bacterium. RNAcentral's name for it is "partial 16S ribosomal RNA". It matches the Rfam family "Bacterial small subunit ribosomal RNA", at positions 524 to 776 of the family's 1533-position model. The record is from RNAcentral.